AGGAGUUUAGGUUAAUCAGACCAGAAGCCUUCAAAGCUUCAAGUAAGUUCUCACUACUUAACCCCUG
RNAcentral lists this transfer RNA (67 nucleotides) under Tupaia nicobarica (Nicobar tree shrew). RNAcentral's name for it is "tRNA-Trp". The record is from RNAcentral. Lineage: Eukaryota; Metazoa; Chordata; Mammalia; Scandentia; Tupaiidae.